GGAGUGGCUCUCGGCGCAUCCGCCUAUGGUGUGACGCGCCGACCGCUCCAUCCUCGCGGGGAAGGCAGCUCCUUAACUGGGGUUGUUCGGACUCGCGUCCUUUACUGUGAAAAAAUUAGAGUGUUUAAAGCAGGCCUAGAGCUUGAAUACAUUAGCAUGGAAUAAUGAGAUAGGACUUCGGUGCUAUUUUGUUGGUUGCGUACCGAGGUA
Molecule: ribosomal RNA, 210 nt
Filed under: uncultured fungus
Lineage: Eukaryota; Fungi
Description: partial small subunit ribosomal RNA
Rfam family: Eukaryotic small subunit ribosomal RNA (bases 83-210)
Source: RNAcentral